Molecule: non-coding RNA, 5574 nt
Organism: Odocoileus virginianus texanus
Lineage: Eukaryota; Metazoa; Chordata; Mammalia; Artiodactyla; Cervidae
Source: RefSeq, a predicted model, not a curated record
AUGAGUUCCGACGCUGAGAUGGCCAUUUUUGGCGAGGCUGCUCCUUACCUCCGAAAGUCUGAAAAGGAGCGCAUUGAGGCCCAGAAUAAGCCUUUUGAUGCCAAGACCUCGGUCUUUGUGGUGGACCCUAAGGAGUCCUUUGUGAAAGCAACGGUGCAGAGCAGAGAAGGGGGGAAGGUGACAGCCAAGACCGAAGCUGGAGCGGUGAUAACUGUGAAAGAAGACCAAGUCUUCCCCAUGAACCCUCCCAAGUUUGACAAGAUCGAGGACAUGGCCAUGAUGACCCACCUGCAUGAGCCCGCUGUGCUCUAUAACCUCAAAGAGCGUUAUGCGGCCUGGAUGAUCUAUACAUAUUCAGGUCUCUUCUGUGUCACCGUCAACCCCUACAAGUGGCUGCCGGUGUACAAUGCAGAGGUGGUGACGGCCUACCGAGGCAAAAAGCGCCAGGAGGCCCCGCCCCACAUCUUCUCCAUCUCUGACAAUGCCUAUCAGUUCAUGCUGACUGACCGAGAGAACCAGUCAAUCCUGAUCACCGGAGAAUCCGGGGCAGGAAAGACUGUGAACACGAAACGUGUCAUCCAGUACUUUGCAACAAUUGCAGUCACUGGGGAGAAGAAGAAGGAGGAACCAACUUCAGGCAAAAUGCAGGGGACUCUGGAGGAUCAGAUCAUCAGUGCCAAUCCCCUGCUGGAGGCCUUUGGCAACGCCAAGACCGUGAGGAAUGACAAUUCCUCUCGCUUUGGUAAAUUCAUCAGGAUCCACUUCGGUACCACAGGGAAACUGGCUUCUGCUGAUAUUGAAACAUAUCUUCUGGAGAAGUCUAGAGUCACUUUCCAGCUGAAGGCAGAAAGAAGCUACCAUAUUUUUUAUCAGAUCAUGUCUAACAAGAAGCCAGAGCUAAUUGAAAUGCUCCUCAUCACCACCAACCCAUAUGACUACGCCUUUGUGAGUCAAGGGGAGAUCACAGUCCCUAGCAUCGAUGACCAAGAAGAGCUGAUAGCCACAGAUAGUGCCAUUGAAAUCCUGGGCUUCACUUCUGAUGAAAGGGUGUCCAUCUACAAGCUCACAGGGGCAGUAAUGCAUUAUGGGAACCUGAAAUUCAAGCAAAAGCAGCGUGAGGAGCAAGCAGAACCAGAUGGCACUGAAGUUGCUGACAAGGCUGCCUACCUCCAGGGUCUGAACUCUGCUGAUCUGCUCAAAGCUCUCUGCUACCCCAGAGUCAAGGUCGGCAAUGAGUUUGUCACCAAAGGCCAGACUGUGCAGCAGGUACAUAAUGCAGUGGGUGCUCUGGCCAAAGCCGUCUAUGAGAAGAUGUUCCUGUGGAUGGUCACCCGCAUCAACCAGCAGCUGGACACCAAGCAGCCCAGGCAGUACUUCAUUGGGGUUUUGGACAUCGCUGGUUUUGAGAUCUUUGAUUUCAACAGCCUGGAGCAGCUGUGCAUCAACUUCACCAAUGAGAAACUGCAACAGUUUUUCAACCACCACAUGUUCGUGCUGGAGCAGGAGGAGUACAAGAAGGAAGGCAUCGAGUGGGAGUUCAUCGACUUCGGGAUGGACCUGGCCGCCUGCAUCGAGCUCAUCGAGAAGCCUAUGGGCAUCUUCUCCAUCCUGGAAGAGGAGUGCAUGUUCCCCAAGGCCACAGACACCUCCUUCAAGAACAAGCUUUAUGAACAGCAUCUUGGAAAGUCCAACAACUUCCAGAAGCCCAAACCUGCCAAGGGCAAGGCUGAGGCCCACUUCUCCCUGGUGCACUAUGCGGGCACCGUGGACUACAACAUUGCCGGCUGGCUGGACAAGAACAAGGACCCCCUGAAUGAGACGGUGGUCGGGCUGUACCAGAAGUCCGCAAUGAAGACUCUGGCUUUCCUCUUCGCUGGAGGUCCAAGUGCUGAAGAGGGUGGCGGUGGAAAGAAAGGUGGCAAAAAGAAGGGUUCUUCUUUCCAGACUGUGUCAGCUCUUUUCAGGGAGAAUCUGAAUAAGCUGAUGACCAACCUGAGGAGCACUCACCCCCACUUUGUACGCUGCAUCAUCCCCAAUGAAACUAAAACUCCUGGUAAGGCACUUCUGAUACCCAGACAAGCUCCAGUGUGACUUCUCAGGAUUUUAUUCUGACAGAUAUAAGGUUCUAAAUGCAAGUGCUAUCCCAGAGGGUCAGUUCAUCGACAGCAAGAAGGCUUCUGAGAAACUUUUAGGGUCUAUUGACAUUGAUCACACCCAGUACAAAUUCGGUCACACCAAGGUUUUCUUUAAGGCUGGCCUGCUGGGAAUUCUAGAGGAGAUGCGAGAUGAAAAGCUGGCUCAGCUCAUCACACGCACUCAGGCCAUUUGUAGAGGGUUCCUGAUGAGAGUGGAAUUCAAGAAGAUGAUGGAGAGAAGAGAAUCUAUCUUCUGCAUCCAGUACAAUGUCCGUGCUUUCAUGAAUGUCAAGCACUGGCCCUGGAUGAAGCUGUAUUUCAAGAUCAAGCCCCUCCUCAAGAGUGCAGAGACAGAGAAGGAGAUGGCCAACAUGAAGGAAGAAUUUGAGAAGACCAAAGAAGAGCUGGCUAAGUCGGAGGCAAAAAGGAAAGAACUUGAAGAGAAAAUGGUGACUCUAAUGCAAGAGAAAAACGACUUACAACUCCAAGUUCAAUCUGAAGCAGAUGGCUUGGCUGAUGCAGAGGAAAGGUGUGACCAGCUGAUUAAAACCAAAAUCCAACUUGAGGCAAAAAUCAAAGAGCUAACUGAGAGAGCCGAGGAUGAGGAGGAGAUCAAUGCUGAGCUGACGGCCAAGAAGAGGAAACUGGAGGACGAAUGUUCGGAACUGAAGAAAGACAUAGAUGACCUUGAGCUGACACUGGCCAAGGUUGAGAAGGAGAAACAUGCCACAGAGAACAAGGUGAAAAACCUCACAGAAGAGAUGGCAGGCCUUGAUGAAAACAUUGCAAAACUGACCAAGGAGAAGAAGGCCCUUCAGGAGGCCCACCAGCAGACCCUGGAUGACUUGCAGGCAGAAGAAGACAAAGUCAACACCCUGACCAAAUCUAAAACCAAGCUAGAACAGCAAGUGGAUGACCUUGAAGGAUUUCUGGAACAAGAGAAGAAACUGCGCAUGGACUUAGAGAGAGCCAAGAGGAAACUGGAGGGUGACCUAAAAUUGGCCCAAGAAUCCACAAUGGAUAUAGAAAAUGAUAAGCAGCAACUGGAUGAGAAACUUAAAAAGAAGGAGUUUGAAAUGAGCAAUCUGCAAAGCAAGAUUGAAGAUGAACAGGCCCUCGGGAUGCAGUUGCAGAAGAAGAUCAAGGAGUUACAGGCCCGCAUCGAGGAGCUGGAGGAGGAGAUCGAGGCCGAGCGCGCCUCCCGCGCCAAAGCAGAGAAGCAGCGCUCAGACCUCUCCCGGGAACUGGAGGAGAUCAGCGAGCGGCUGGAAGAAGCCGGCGGGGCCACUUCCGCCCAGAUUGAGAUGAACAAGAAGCGGGAGGCUGAGUUCCAGAAGAUGCGCCGGGACCUGGAGGAGGCCACGCUGCAGCAUGAGGCCACGGCGGCCGCUCUUCGCAAGAAGCACGCGGACAGUGUGGCCGAGCUGGGGGAGCAGAUCGACAACCUGCAGAGGGUCAAGCAGAAGCUGGAGAAGGAGAAGAGCGAGCUGAAGAUGGAGAUCGACGACCUGGCCAGCAACAUGGAGACUGUCUCCAAAGCCAAGGGAAACCUUGAGAAAAUGUGCCGUACACUAGAGGACCAACUGAGUGAAGUGAAAACUAAGGAAGAGGAGCAGCAGCGCCUAAUCAAUGAACUGUCAGCCCAGAAGGCACGUCUACACACAGAGUCAGGUGAAUUUUCACGACAGCUAGAUGAGAAAGAUGCUCUGGUAUCUCAGCUAUCCCGAGGCAAACAAGCAUUUACUCAACAAAUUGAGGAAUUAAAGAGGCAGCUAGAAGAGGAGACUAAGGCCAAGAGUGCCCUGGCCCACGCCCUGCAGUCAGCCCGCCACGACUGUGACCUGCUGCGGGAACAGUACGAGGAGGAGCAGGAGGGCAAGGCCGAGCUGCAGAGGGCGAUGUCCAAGGCCAACAGCGAGGUGGCCCAGUGGAGGACCAAGUACGAGACGGAUGCCAUCCAGCGCACGGAGGAGCUGGAGGAGGCCAAGAAGAAGCUGGCCCAGCGUCUGCAGGAUGCUGAGGAACAUGUAGAAGCGGUGAAUGCCAAAUGUGCCUCCCUUGAGAAGACCAAGCAGCGGCUCCAGAAUGAGGUUGAGGACCUCAUGCUCGACGUGGAGAGGUCCAAUGCUGCCUGCGCGGCUCUCGAUAAGAAGCAGAGGAACUUUGACAAGGUCCUAUCAGAAUGGAAACAGAAGUAUGAGGAAACUCAGGCUGAGCUUGAGGCCUCCCAGAAGGAGUCCCGCUCUCUCAGCACUGAGCUGUUCAAAGUCAAGAAUGCCUAUGAGGAGUCCCUGGACCAACUUGAAACCCUAAAGAGAGAAAACAAGAACUUACAGCAGGAGAUUUCUGACCUGACCGAGCAAAUUGCAGAGGGAGGAAAGCAUAUCCAUGAACUGGAGAAAGUAAAGAAACAAAUAGAACAAGAUAAGGGUGAACUACAGGCUGCUCUAGAGGAAGCAGAGGCAUCUCUCGAGCAUGAAGAAGGCAAAAUCCUUCGCAUCCAACUUGAGUUAAAUCAGGUGAAAUCAGAGAUCGACCGGAAAAUUGCUGAAAAAGAUGAAGAAAUUGAUCAGCUAAAGAGGAACCAUCUCAGAGUUGUGGAGUCCAUGCAGAGCACCCUAGAUGCUGAGAUCAGGAGCAGGAAUGAUGCCCUGAGGAUCAAGAAGAAGAUGGAGGGAGACCUCAAUGAAAUGGAAAUCCAGCUGAACCAUGCCAAUCGCCAGGCUACUGAGGCAAUAAAGAAUCUUAGAAACACACAAGGAGUACUGAAGGACACUCAGCUCCACUUGGAUGAUGCCAUCAGGGGCCAGGAUGACCUUAAGGAGCAGCUGGCCAUGGUUGAACGCAGAGCCAACCUGAUGCAGGCUGAGACUGAAGAGCUGAGGGCAUCACUGGAACAGACAGAGAGGAGCAGGCGAAUGGCAGAGCAAGAGCUUUUGGACGCCAGUGAGCGUGUGCAGCUCCUGCACACACAGAACACUAGCCUGAUCAACACCAAGAAGAAGCUAGAGACAGACAUCACUCAAAUCCAGGGAGAGAUGGAGGACAUUGUCCAGGAAGCUCGCAACGCUGAAGAGAAAGCCAAGAAGGCCAUCACUGAUGCAGCCAUGAUGGCUGAGGAGCUGAAGAAGGAGCAGGACACCAGCGCCCACCUGGAGCGGAUGAAGAAGAACUUGGAGCAGACGGUGAAGGACCUGCAGCACCGCCUGGAUGAGGCUGAGCAGCUGGCCCUGAAGGGCGGGAAGAAGCAGAUCCAGAANAACGAGGAACAAUCCAAUGUCAAUCUUGCCAAAUUCCGCAAACUCCAGCACGAGCUGGAGGAGGCUGAGGAACGGGCUGACAUUGCCGAGUCCCAGGUCAACAAGCUGCGGCUGAAGAGCCGGGAGGUUCACACAAAAGUUAUAAGUGAAGAGUAAUUCAUUCUAAGGCGAAAAGGUGA